Molecule: RNase P RNA, 338 nt
Filed under: Undibacterium sp.
Lineage: Bacteria; Pseudomonadati; Pseudomonadota; Betaproteobacteria; Burkholderiales; Oxalobacteraceae
Description: RNase P RNA component class A
Rfam family: Bacterial RNase P class A
About the family: Ribonuclease P (RNase P) is a ubiquitous endoribonuclease, found in archaea, bacteria and eukarya as well as chloroplasts and mitochondria.
Source: RNAcentral
GAAGCAGGCUAGACAAUCGCUGGCUUUGGUGUGAGCCAAAGCGGGAGGAAGGUCCGGACUCCAUAGAGCAGGGUGACGGCUAACGGCCGUACGUUGAAAGCCGCAAGGUAUAAGACGAGGAAUAGGGCCACAGAGACGAGCGUAUUUAGUUACGGUGAAACGCGGUAACCUCCACCCGGAGCAAUUUCAAAUAGGCACGCGUUGAGGCGGCUCGCGGAGCGUGCGGGUAGAAAGCUUGAGCCUGGGAGUAAUCCCCGGCCUAGAGGAAUGAUUGUCAUAGCACAAGGCAGCAAUGCCAAGUGCCGUAACAGAAUCCGGCCUAUCGGCCUGCUUCAUUU